RNAcentral lists this unclassified non-coding RNA (334 nucleotides) under soil metagenome. Its description in RNAcentral is "partial contains 5.8S ribosomal RNA, internal transcribed spacer 2, and large subunit ribosomal RNA". The stretch from base 1 to 120 matches the Rfam family "5.8S ribosomal RNA", at positions 35 to 154 of the family's 154-position model. The record is from RNAcentral.
GAUGAAGAACGUAGCAAAAUGCGAUAAGUAAUGUGAAUUGCAGAAUUCAGUGAAUCAUCGAAUCUUUGAACGCACAUUGCGCCUGCCAGCACUCUGGCAGGCAUGCCUGUUCGAGCGUCAUUUCAACCAUCAAGCCCUAGGCUUGCGUUGGAGCCCUGCGGCUGCCGCAGGCCCCUAAAAGCAGUGGCGGGCUCGCUAUCACACCGAGUGCAGUAGAUUACUCUUCGCUCAGGGCGUGUGGCGGGUUCCAGCCGUGAAACCCCCUACUUCUCAAGGUUGACCUCGGAUCAGGUAGGAAUACCCGCUGAACUUAAGCAUAUCAAUAAGCGGAGGA